GUGGGGAAUAUUGCACAAUGGGGGAAACCCUGAUGCAGCAACGCCGCGUGAAGGAAGACGGUCUUCGGAUUGUAAACUUUUGUUCUUGGUGAAGAAGAAUGACGGUAGCCAAGGAGGAAGCCACGGCUAACUACGUGCCAGCAGCCGCGGUAAUACGUAGGUGGCAAGCGUUGUCCGGAAUUACUGGGUGUAAAGGGAGCGCAGGCGGGAAAUCAAGUUGGAUGUGAAAUGUCGGGGCUUAACCCCGGAACUGCAUCCAAAACUGAUAUUCUUGAGUGAAGUAGAGGUAGGCGGAAUUCCGAGUGUAGCGGUGAAAUGCGUAGAUAUUCGGAGGAACACCAGUGGCGAAGGCGGCCUACUGGGCUUUAACUGACGCUGAGGCUCGAAAGUGUGGGGAGCAAACAGGAUUAGAAACCCUAGUAGUCC
RNAcentral lists this ribosomal RNA (426 nucleotides) under uncultured bacterium. Its description in RNAcentral is "bacterial SSU rRNA". It matches the Rfam family "Bacterial small subunit ribosomal RNA", at positions 354 to 796 of the family's 1533-position model. The record is from RNAcentral.